RNAcentral lists this ribosomal RNA (465 nucleotides) under uncultured bacterium. RNAcentral describes it as "partial 16S ribosomal RNA". It matches the Rfam family "Bacterial small subunit ribosomal RNA", at positions 28 to 507 of the family's 1533-position model. The record is from RNAcentral.
GACGAACGCUGGCGGUGUGCUUAACACAUGCAAGUCGAACGGUAAGGCCCUUUCGGGGGUACACGAGUGGCGAACGGGUGAGUAACACGUGAGUAACCUGCCCUCAUCUCUGGGAUAACAGUCGGAAACGGUUGCUAAUACUGGAUAUGAGCCUGCAAGGCAUCUUGUGGGUUGGAAAGAUUUUUUGGUUGGGGAUGGACUCGCGGCCUAUCAGCUUGUUGGUGAGGUAGUGGCUCACCAAGGCUUCGACGGGUAGCCGGCCUGAGAGGGCGACCGGCCACAUUGGGACUGAGAUACGGCCCAAACUCCUACGGGGGGCAGCAGUGGGGAAUAUUGCACAAUGGACGGAAGUCUGAUGCAGCAACGCCGCGUGCGGGAUGACGGCCUUCGGGUUGUAAACCGCUUUCAAUUGUGACGAAGCUUUUUGUGACGGUAGCAGUAGAAGAAGCACCGGCUAACUACGUG